AAGGACAAUGGGCACUUUUGUAUGGGGAGUGUCCCAUGGAUGUAUACUGUUGAGACAUAUGUCGUUUUAAAGCUUUUAAUCGUAGUAUUAUUUUAUUGUAUGGCACCAACCUUGGACCACUUGCAGGGACCGAGCUAUAUAAAAAAAGAAGUUGCGCAUAUAAGCAGUUAUAUUUCCUUAUACGCGGGAUAUAAAAAGUUUUAGCGUAUUUUAUUCGAAAGAAUAUAAAAAAUGCUUUAUGUUUUUUGUAUCAACACCAAUGAUAAAGUAUUUAAAGGGACAAAAUGAACAGUUUUAAAAAAUCGUCAUUCUAAAAAUUACUUGAUACACAGCGAAAUAAGAGUGUAUACAAAUGCCAUGUAUAUCAUGUGAAAAGUAUUUUUAUAAGCUAUUUUUCGUAUAAUAUAACUGGGGUCAAAUCGUUGCAGGGACCAAAAUAAAACCAUUUAAUGAGUUAAUUAAUUGUAGUUAAUUACGCCUUAACUUUUCUACUCAACGCCAGAUGUCGCUCUAAAGCAAAAUUCUACUUGACGUAAAACAUUUAUACAUCGCGGUAAUCUCGUCAGUCUUACUCCAUCAUUUUAAAAAGUAUAGACUAGUUUAUGGAUUUCUAAAGUUAUGUCAAGAUGACUCUGAAUGUAAUAUUGUCAACAAUAAUUGUCAAAACACGCAAUUUAAAAUAUUCAACAUUGUAAUUACAAAAUAGUAUAUUUCUAAUACGCUAUAAUUUUCUCCAAUCGAAAGGCACUCCAUUCCAUUGAUCUCAGAGAGUAUGCUCCUUGAUGAUCUUCACUAUUCAUGGGCAUUUUUAAGUUGUUCAUCGGACACUGAGGCCAUUGAAGUUUCAUGCUGGCGGCAUCAAAAUGGAGUACCUAGAAACCAUACGGAAAUAAUGAGGAUGCAUCGACAUAAGAAGAAUCGAACAUGGGCAAGAUAAAGUUCAAGAAAAAAGCGUACUGUGUGUAUAUAAUGUGUACUUGUGUGUAGUCAAAGAAAGUUGAAAAAUAAAGCAUAAUUAAUGGCCAUAGAAUACAGAACCGAUACACGAACAUUAAGACUAUUAAAAAUAGACAUAUAGGUUGAUCGUACUACUCGUACUAAUGUAUUUCUUUUGUUCAAUUAUAGUAUUGCAUUAAAGUUAGAUUCUCUAGAUAUAUAUUAUUCAUAGGUUCUGUAUUCUAUACGAAUUGUUUCAGUGUAAUUAUUGUACUAAAUACCGUUGACCGCCUGUCAACAGUAUUUAUUUCUACAUUACUAUCACAGAAGAUUUUAGGCCCUACAGUAGUUUUUGAAUUAGUAUUUACUAUGGACAAAUAUAGCGAAAUGUGAGUUUUUACCUAAAAUAUCAAUCUUUUGUGAACGUGGUGUAGAGUAUAUACCGCCUAAGACUGAAGUAGCUACGCGGGAAACGUUUUCAAAAUAGAAUCGUGUUCAUGGUCGGCCCAUGGUAAAAAUAAUUAGGUACACGUAGACCCGCUAAAUAAACCCCGUGGACCCACCAGGAGAACAUAUUGGAGAGACUAGAGAUAAUACACCGCUUUAAGGGCGGUCGCACUCGGCAUUGACAUCUGGCGUAUAGAUGGCGGGUGGACCUCAGCGAAUUUCAAAGAAAUAUUUAUAAACAUCCAAUGACGUCCGGCUCGGACACCAGAUCUUCAAUCUCCUGAUUCCUGUGGAGUCUCCAGGUUCCAUCCUCUCCACGUGUGAGUCCUAGGAUUUUUCGCGCUGCCAGACUCCGAUGACUCAGGCACGUAGUCCAGAUGGGUGAGGAUCGUGCAGCCUGGAGGGCGUACUCUGAAGUUCCAAAUGGCCGAAGACCGUCUAGACGUCCUAGGUAGGUACCGCUGGAGAGAUGAAAUGCAAAAAGACCUUAGCGAACUCGGCGCCGUCGACUAGAUGGAAACGGUUUUGGACAGAGAAGCAUGGCGGUCUUUGGUGUCGGAGGCCAAGAUCCACUUCGGGUCGCUGCGCCAUAGCAGUAAGUAAGUAUUUAUAAACAUACUGUACCUUCUGUGUACCUAACCCAAAACGAGAUAUUUAAGAAAAAGUCCACCCGCCAUUCUGACGUCAGGAUUGCGGUUGGACCUAUGAAAUCUUGCAUUAUACCGCACUAAAAGUAUGCAGUUAUAUGGUACAGUCGCCAUCAGAUAUAUCGGAGUGGCCGAGGUGCUCAAAGAUCUCUAAACACGCACUCUAACCUCUCGACAGUAGAGGCAUGUUCAGAUAUUCGUGGGUACCUUGGCCGCUCCGAUAUAUAUGAUGGUGACUGUACCUUCAGUGUACCUCUGUAAAUAGAAAUAGAAACCGGUGUACCUCUCCCCAAAACAAGCUAGGCUAAGCUCAUGCACAAUAUAACUGCAUACUUUUAGUGCGGUAUAAUGCAAGAUUUCAUAGGUCCACCCGCCAUCCUGACGUCAGGUUGGCGGGUGGACCGUUUUGUAAAAUAUCUCGUUUUGGGGAAAGGUACACUGGUUUAUAUUAAAGGUACACUGAGGUACACAGAAGGUACAAUAUGUUUAUAAAUAUUUCUUUGAAAUUCGCUGAGGUCCACCGCCAUCCUGACGCUUACCAUAUAUCUAAGGACCGACCUUAGGGGCAAUAACGAUAGUGCUAGUUCAGCUGUGUCAUUCACAAAUUCGAGCCAAUCGUGCUGUCUAACGCAACUAGAUGCGAUCAAUCGCGUGCAUAAUGCGAACUCAUCAACCAAUCACGUUGUGUUACUUGUGGCGUUAGACUGCACGAUUGGCUCAAACUCGUGUGCGUAACACCGCUGUACUGGCCCCAUUCUUAUUGCCCGUAAGGCCCGUCCUCAGAUAUAUUAUGUCAACGACACAGUCGCGAUUUUAAAAAAUCACAUCGCUUCUGCUACCAAAUUGUUGAGCAUAACGUUUUCCUAUCCAUAGGUUCCAUCUGUCCAGUAGGAUCCACCAUCUCGAUCCACCAGAUUGAAGAGAUUGUUACUUAACUGAUGGAUCGAGAUAAUGAAACCUACUGAAUAGAGCGGGUCGAUUGGAUAUAACAAAGUACGCUUAUAUGAAACGCUACUCCGGUGUGCGAGUGAGACAGUCAGGCCAAUUUGAACUUGCAUUUGACAGAAAACUGACUCCAUCAAACGCUACCAGUUCCAUUGCCGGCCUCUUCGCUGCCUUCUAUAGUGGUUCAAUCUUACCUUGCUUAUGAAUAAAAAGGGGCGUGCACACCGAUAUUAGAGUAAUAUUGGAAUCAUAUCAGUUAGUUGCGGGCGUCUCGCUCGCACAAAUACAUGCGUAUAAGUGCGAAAUGAACACACGAAUGACAGCUAACUGGUAUCAUUCCAAUAUUAUUCUAAAAUUGGUUUAAUGUCAGUUGCACUUUCGAAUUGGCCUACAUAGCGAUUUCCUUAGCCUGCACACCGGAUCGGCGUGUGGGCCGGCAUCUAGCUAAUGUAAAGCCACCUCAUUAGGUGCUUUACAUUAGUUACAAAAUACAAAAGGUUAAGGGCGUUUGCUAGCUGGCGCUAGUGCACGGAGCGGGCAAACACGCGCAGGUGCCUUUGUAAGUAAAAUCAGUCGCACGCGUCCGCGCCAGUUAGCGUUGCUCAUACUGUAAGAGCUCGUUCCCACUAUGUCGGAUGUCGUGGCGAUUUUUAAUCGUACGUUCCACUGGCAGAACAUUUUAUAUGAAGCUGUUCACACUCGUCCGACAACGAUUUUGUGUCGGAUACGACAAAAAAUGUCGUGCGUUUUGCCAGCCCUCCCAGCCCGGAAAAAAAUCGUGUCGUGUCUCGCUCGCGUACGAGUGAAUAUAGCGCUGUUCACAUUUUGUCGGAUGUCGGAACGAUUUCGCCCGCGCCGCCCUCGCGGCACCCCCUCACACACCCGCGCGUCGCUGCCGCGUCGUUGCGAUCGCUUCUUAAUUCAGCUAUCAAAUUCUGAAAUAUUCAUAAGGUAAAUCUUUCCCUGAGAAUUGGGUGUACCCAAUAUCUCCUUUUUUUAACUGCCUCUAAUCGUUUCUUUCGCAAAUAAUACAAAACCACAAACAUUUCGUCGACGUUCAUCUUGUACUAAGCCUCGCUACCCACUCGAAAAAUACACGCCAGCUGCGAUCGUGCACGACAGACGACUAGUGGGAACAGUACCGCCAACACCCGAUUGAAAUCCGGAUCCGACAUCCGACAUAGUGAGAACAGCGGCAACGACACACGAUUAAAAAUCGCCACGACAUCCGACAUAGUGGGAACGAGCUCUAAGCCGCACGCCCGCUCCAUGCACACGCGCGACGUUGCGGACGCCCUAUGCCCUAAACCUUACUUGAAAGUGUGAAGGUUACUCUGACAGCGGCUAUAUCAGCUAUAAUGUAUUUAUGACGCUUUGAGCAUAGCUAGUUACGACGCCUUAAGGUAUUCUUGGCGUUCAAAAGGUUAAGGGCGUUUGCUAGCUGGCGCGAGUGCACGGAGCGGGUGCACGUGCGCGGGUGCCUUUGUAGGUAAAAUUCGUCGCACGCGUCCGCGCCAGCUAGCGUCGCCAGUUACUGUUUUUCGUUAACCCGCUUCAGCUAGCAAACUAAUCGCAAAUGGUCCGAGAUUGGCGCAAUAACCAUGCAUUCCCUUAUCUGGAUCUGGAUGCACCUAUUCACCAAUGCUUGCUUUAAAGGAACUUGUCGACUCGUCCUGAUAAUAUUUGUGCGACCGUGAAGAAAAUCUAUGCCGUCACUUAUUUUUCAAUUUAUAUGAAAUAAAGAUGUUAAAUGUAUUCAAAAGUUUUUAUUUAAUAAAGUAGGUAUGUAUAAGUGCUCUGUGCAUCCGCACCAGCUAGCGGUGCCCUUAGCAAACCAAUCGCAAAUGGUCCGAGAUUGGCGCAAUAACCAUGCAUUCUCUUAUCUGGAUCUGGAUGCACCUAUUCACCAAUGCUUGCUUUAAAUUAACUUGUCGACUCAUCCUGCUAAUAUUUGUGCGACCGUGAAGAAAAUGUAUGCCGUCAGUUAUUUUUCAAUUUAUAUGAAAUAAAGGUGUUAAAUGUAUUCAAAAGUUUUUAUUUCAUAUGUAUAUAUAAUGGAACGAAAUACAGCUACUAUCUUAGCUUGGCAAGCAGUUAAGAGUCGCUGAUGCUUUUAUUGUAUUCACUGCGUUAAUUUUAGGUUUAAGAUUCUUUAUUCUCACUAAGAAUUUGACAAUUCACUUACAUGAGAACUUAAAACUACACAAUUUAAUCCUGCUUCAUAUGGCAAACGAAGGAAACGUUGCUUUGAACCGCGACGCAAUCUCAAAUGUUUCACUUUUACACAAUUUUCCUGCAGAGAGACAAAACAAGUAUGUACAUAGUACCUUUUUACGAUUUAUUUUAUCGUAACAUAUAAACUUAGAUUUAUUUUCUUGCUGCUAAUUAUGGUACUCCAACUACUCCAUAAAUACAUUUACUUACCUACUUAUUGCUUAGGAAUCUUAUUUCAUGUUUAAUAAUAAGUUUAUAUAACGUUUCUAGCGGGACAUAACGCGAACUUUAAAAAAUGUAAUGCUUUUUCUACCUUUAUCACUCGAAUAUGUAAGAGCAAGAGAGAUAAAUAGACGAAACUUACUAGUUCAAGGUAACCACUCGUUUUAUUGUCAAAUUUCCGAAUUAAACAAACUUAUUCUUCGGUAACAUUUUUAGCGUUUAUAAGCGACUAUACGGAUCCAGCAUUUGCCGCUCAUUCGGUUCUCCUAUUGCACGCAAGAUGUCAGUACUAGAGAGGAUUUGAAAAAUCAUAAUUAAGUAGUUUAGUGCCAUUUAUUGAGCAGUAAUAAUUAAAAAAAAUAUAUAAAUUACUUUUUCAUUAUAUUUCAGGCAUGCAAAGUGAUGUAAAUGGUUACAAAAGUAACUCUAUAUGAAUGACAUUUUUUAGUUCCAGUUUACGCCGCAGCGCAUGAUCAAAAUUAUUAAUAUCAUCUUCCCUGGACACUUUCGGUCUUUGGUGUCAUAUAAGUAAUUAAUGCUUAAUUGAAGACCUUCCAAAUAGGAUAUGACUCAAUUGUAUAUACCAAUAGUAAAAAUUACCCAAACUGCUACCAAGGCUCCAUCUAGUGCCAGGUAGAACAAACAAAGCGGCAUUUACCACAAUUAAUUAACGAAAAAACUCGUUUUAUUACCGCCCCUGCAAGCAUUUGAGUGCAAGUAUAUAUAUAUUAAAAUACCUUAUAAAAAUGUCUUUUAAAUGAUAUAUAUGGCUUGAGUAUACAAGCAAGUUUCAGUGUUUAAUAGCAGUAUUUUUAAUUCAAGCAUAUGUUAUAUCAACUAAUUCCAGCCCUGUACGUACUUAAACGUAAGUAGUGGUAAACAGAAAUCUAGAAUUUCUCAUAUUCUUUCAUACAAAACACCUAACAACCGGCUACGUAACAAGUACUUUGUAAAACAACAGUUUAUAUUCGCCACUCUUUUUUUUAAAUUGCUCAGUCCCUGCACGUUAUCCAAAGUUGGUGUCAUACAAUAAAAUAAUGCUAAGAGUAAACCCUUUCAAACGAGAUAUGUCUCAACAGUAUACAUCCAUGGGACAAAUUGCCCAUUCUCCUUUAAACCU
This is a long non-coding RNA of Cydia pomonella (codling moth), 6531 nucleotides long. RefSeq lists it as uncharacterized. The transcript has 3 exons. The record is from RefSeq and is a predicted model, not a curated record. Lineage: Eukaryota; Metazoa; Arthropoda; Insecta; Lepidoptera; Tortricidae.